This 318-nucleotide small nuclear RNA is filed under the name Erinaceus europaeus (western European hedgehog). RNAcentral describes it as "7SK RNA". It matches the Rfam family "7SK RNA". Rfam says of the family: 7SK was discovered as an abundant small nuclear RNA in the mid-70s but a possible function has only recently been suggested. Two independent studies have found that 7SK RNA binds the CDK9/cyclin T complex (known as elongation factor P-TEFb). The record is from Rfam by way of RNAcentral. Lineage: Eukaryota; Metazoa; Chordata; Mammalia; Eulipotyphla; Erinaceidae.
AGAUGUGAGGGCGAUCUGGCUGCGACAUCUGUCACCCCAUUGAUCACUAGGGUUGUUUCGGCUGAUCUGGCUGGCUAGGCGGGUGUCCCCUUCCUCCCUCACCGCUCCAUGUGCGUCCCUCCCGAAGCUGUGUGCUCAAUCGAAGCGGAUGGCCUUCCCCGAAUAGAGACAGACCAGUCUUCCAUCGAGGGUAUACAAGUAGCUGCUCCCCUGCUAGAACCUCCAAACAAGCUCUCAAGAAUAGGAAAGCUUUCAGGGGAGGGGAUGGGAUACGGAGAUCUGGUGGUGGGAAUUGUGUGGAGUUGUACCCCUCUUAUC